AUUGGGUCUAUAGAAGGAAGUGCCUCCACAUCUGAAGUAGGGACCUGGGCAUUGAUAGUGAUGAAGUUGUGGAGAAGGAAGUCCACAUUCCCCUGCUGUGUGACUGGAGGUGACAGCAAGUGGACUUUUUCCAUUCUUGACCCCAGGAACCACCUACUGAGAAGAUAGUGACAGAACAGCUUGUGUUUGAGAUCUUUUACUGCACGGAUUUCACUCAGUCCUCAUGACCUCCACCCAUCCUUGAAUCUGCUUUUCUGACUUUUUGCCUGGCUUUGGCGUCUUCAAGCAAAUGACCUCAGCUCAACCUGCCUUUGGCUUUGUUUCCCUGCCUGAGAGGAUGUGAAGGAACCGAGUUCUUCUGAGGAGACUGGCUCAGUGCAGUUCGCCUGAGGGGAAGCUGGCACCAUGGCAGGGAAGAGACAGGUGUACUGUAUUUUACAAAUGAGUAUUUUAACGUUA
Molecule: long non-coding RNA, 459 nt
Organism: Peromyscus leucopus (white-footed mouse)
Lineage: Eukaryota; Metazoa; Chordata; Mammalia; Rodentia; Cricetidae
Exons: 2
Source: RefSeq, a predicted model, not a curated record